UUUCUCUAUGCAUUCAUUCAUUAUUUCAACAAAUAUUUAUCGGGUGUUUAAUAUGUUUAUAGCCAUGUGCUAAGCACUGAGGUUAUACUUUGUCGUGACUCCAUGGUUAAACUCCACAGGGACAAGAUCCACACAAAUAUUCUGUGUGAAGGACACAUAAAUAGUUUGGGGGUACAUCAUGCCUAUGACUGAUAUGAAGAAGGUGUAAACAAAUGUAUAUUGAAUUAAAGAAUACCUUAAAUAUUUGUUUGUAAGAGAUAUAGUUUUAGGAUUUGUUACAAUAGUUAGAAAAGGGUUUCAUGAAUAUGGAAUGAAAGCUUAGACUGCAACUGUUUUACAAAGCGCUUUUAAAAGUAACUACUAAAAUAAUCUAGUAACACUUUUAGAGUCAUUUAGAAAAGAAUAAAAUAAUCUUAGCCUAGCUAACAGGAUGUUCCAAUAAAACUAUUGUGAAGUGGUAGGACUCUUGAUUAUGGUGAGAAUGGGUCAGAAUGGAUGAAUCAACACAUUUGUGUAAAGAAUAAUAUCUAGAAAUGAUGACAAUGUAUAUUUGAAAGAAAAGAGUAUUAAAAAUGUCUUUAAAUUUUCCAA
Molecule: long non-coding RNA, 591 nt
Organism: Homo sapiens (human)
Lineage: Eukaryota; Metazoa; Chordata; Mammalia; Primates; Hominidae
Source: Ensembl